CACCGGCUCGGCAGGCUUCACCGGCUCGGCGGCCUGCUCAGCGGCCUGCUCAGGGGCCUUCUCGGCGGCCGGUUCGGGUUCCGGCGCCGGCUCC
This 94-nucleotide transfer RNA is filed under the name Actinomadura sp. RB99. RNAcentral's name for it is "tRNA-Ser". Lineage: Bacteria; Bacillati; Actinomycetota; Actinomycetes; Streptosporangiales; Thermomonosporaceae. The record is from RNAcentral.